UGACAGCCUUCAGUUCCUUGAGAGAUGUCU
RNAcentral lists this non-coding RNA (30 nucleotides) under Rattus norvegicus (Norway rat). Lineage: Eukaryota; Metazoa; Chordata; Mammalia; Rodentia; Muridae. The record is from RNAcentral.